GGAGUAGCUUAGUGGUAGAGCAUCUGCUUUGCACGCAAAAGGCCCUAGGUUUGGACCUCAGCAUCUCCA
This is a non-coding RNA of Podarcis lilfordi (Lilford's wall lizard), 69 nucleotides long. NCBI's taxonomy places the organism in Eukaryota, Metazoa, Chordata, Lepidosauria, Squamata, Lacertidae. The record is from the annotation of a GenBank genome assembly.